RNAcentral lists this ribosomal RNA (474 nucleotides) under uncultured bacterium. RNAcentral's name for it is "partial 16S ribosomal RNA". It matches the Rfam family "Bacterial small subunit ribosomal RNA", at positions 28 to 507 of the family's 1533-position model. The record is from RNAcentral.
GAUGAACGCUAGCGGCAGGCCUAACACAUGCAAGUCGAGGGAGGAGCUUUCGGGCUUCGACCGGCGUACGGGUGCGUAACGCGUAUACAAUCUGCCUUUCACAUAGGGAUAGCCCGAAGAAAUUUGGAUUAAUACCUAAUGGUAUAUAGAGGUGGCAUCACCUUUAUAUUAAAGCUGAGGCGGUGAAAGAUGAGUAUGCGUUCUAUUAGCUAGUUGGAGAGGUAACGGCUCCCCAAGGCGACGAUAGAUAGGGGUUCUGAGAGGGAUAUCCCCCACACUGGUACUGAGAUACGGACCAGACUCCUACGGGAGGCAGCAGUGAGGAAUAGUGAACAAUGGUCGGAAGACUGAUCCAGCCAUGCCGCGUGCAGGAAGACGGCCUUAUGGGUUGUAAACUGCUUUUGCAGGGGAAGAAUAAGGACUACGCGUAGUUUGAUGACGGUACUCUGCGAAUAAGCAUCGGCUAACUCCGUG